This 497-nucleotide ribosomal RNA is filed under the name uncultured bacterium. RNAcentral's name for it is "partial 16S ribosomal RNA". It matches the Rfam family "Bacterial small subunit ribosomal RNA", at positions 28 to 507 of the family's 1533-position model. The record is from RNAcentral.
GGUGAACGCUGGCGGCGUGCCUAAUACAUGCAAGUCGAGCGAACAGAUGAGGAGCUUGCUCCUCUGACGUUAGCGGCGGACGGGUGAGUAACACGUGGAUAACCUACCUAUAAGACUGGGAUAACUUCGGGAAACCGGAGCUAAUACCGGAUAAUAUAUUGAACCGCAUGGUUCGAUAGUGAAAGACGGUUUUGCUGUCACUUAUAGAUGGAUCCGCGCCGCAUUAGCUAGUUGGUAAGGUAACGGCUUACCAAGGCAACGAUGCGUAGCCGACCUGAGAGGGUGAUCGGCCACACUGGAACUGAGACACGGUCCAGACUCCUACGGGAGGCAGCAGUAGGGAAUCUUCCGCAAUGGGCGAAAGCCUGACGGAGCAACGCCGCGUGAGUGAUGAAGGUCUUCGGAUCGUAAAACUCUGUUAUUAGGGAAGAACAAAUGUGUAAGUAACUAUGCACGUCUUGACGGUACCUAAUCAGAAAGCCACGGCUAACUACGUG